This is a long non-coding RNA of Chelonoidis abingdonii (Abingdon island giant tortoise), 3097 nucleotides long. RefSeq lists it as uncharacterized. Lineage: Eukaryota; Metazoa; Chordata; Testudines; Testudinidae. The record is from RefSeq and is a predicted model, not a curated record.
GACGCCUCCUCCCGAGUCCUGCUCGCUGCAAAGCCCCCGGGGAAGGAGGAGCAGGAGCCUGGUGCACAGGGAAGGGGGCUGCGUGCUCCACGGACUGCUGCAACGACACCCCACCUGCGCCCAUGCUGCAGUGUGUGCAGCGGGGUGCAUGCUUCAUUGCUUCGUGCAUGUCGGAUGCAUACUUCACAAACUGCAGCAAUCCCCCUUCCCCCCUCCCGGGUUUGCAUGGCUGCUAUUUCCGUGCUUAAUUGGAUGAACUAUUCACCCCACCCUUCGCAAGCUCCAGCUUGCUUCAUUUGCGGCAGCGAACUCCUUGUAGGCUAGGUGCAUGCUUUGUGCUUGGAUCCCCCACCGCACCCAGCCCUGUGCAAAAUGGGGCGGCGAGGUAUUCACACUUCAUGCGCUGUCUGUAGUGACACUCUCCCCACUUCCUUAUUUGCAGGCUGCGCACGAGGUUGGGGCUUCUUGUACAGGAACAUGGGUGACAGAGGCUGCAGUUUCCCUCAAGCGGCAUUAAAAACUCCUCGGAUCUCGGAUUAGCAAGAAGAGGCCACUUCACCCACGUGGUGAGCUGGGAGGGUUCAGGUGGUGACAAUAAGGGUGACGCAGGGCGCUACACAGCCGGUCUAAGCGAGGCAGAUGUGUCACAGCAGACGGGACCUGUAGCCCCAGCUGACCCAGAGGGGAUUAACUGGCCUGGCAAACCCAGUCUGGAAACCGGCACACCUAGAUGGAGCAUGGAGCCAGCCAGACUUUGACAAUAGGUUGGGAUCUCCUGGCCUGGGGAAACACCCUCAGCAAACAGCAGAGGAACAUUGGAUCAAUACAGACAAGGUGGCACCUGUCCUUGGAGUCUCUCAGCCGAAAGUGCUUGGUAAACAUGUUAAUAGAGUCUCACAACAUCCCCUUGGGAAGGUGAGUUGCAUUGGGCUGGCUGGGACUUCACGAAACAGAGACAUUCCCUGAGCUGUGUGGUUAUUAAAGAUCCCAUGAUGCAUUGCACCAGGGCAGCAGUUGAGCCAAGGCUCAGAUUUUGCAGUGUGUUGUCCAUGGGCUGCCUCCUGGCAGGCACGCUCCACCCUAGAGGGGGUGCAUGUCGGUGGUGGGGGACGGGUGGUGUUACUCAGCGUGGCCACAGUCUUAAGGGCCUAAGCACUUUUUGCUCCCUGCUGUGAGCAGCACUGUACAGGAUCGGGCCCAUGGAGCGAGCCAGUUCCGUCACAUUCGUUCCCUUCCACCCAGGGCAGAGAGGCCAACUUUGGAGCACGGCAGAGGCACCUCAGUGCGGUGCACCUCAGAGGCACCUCAGCGUGCUCUCCCCCACCCAAGCCAGAUGGGAAGCUGGGAAUUCCUAUUACAGGCUGGCUGGGAUCCCUCGCCUGCCCUGGAACAAGGACACAGCCCCGUCCCACAGGAGGGAUGGAGCUCGAAGCUGUAAAACGGCACCUGUGCUGAUGGGGUUCGGGGAAUGACGAUGGCCCUUGGCCCUUCUCUAGCACCAUCCUUCCACGGCUCUCAGAGCGUCGCACCAACAAGAAUGAAUCAGCCCCAGGGCUGGGUCAUAGCGAUGGCCCCAUUCGACACGGGGCCACCCGAGCCCGGAGAGGGGAUGUGACUUACAUGAGGUCACCCCACGAGUCAGUAGCGGAGCCAGGAACAGAACCCAGGAGUCCGGACGCCCAUGGCUUAAAAUGGUCCAAAAAAAGUUGGGGGGGGGGGCGGGAAAGAAUCAUUGUCUCCGGCAAGGGAAGUGACAUUGCAUCUGCCUACCCCCCAUCAGUUCUGUGCCCCUCGCACCUCAGCUCCUCGGGCAGCUGCUGGGAUUCCUUGCCCCCCAGCCCUUCCCAGGUGGGUGCUGCAGGGAGAGGAGCCACCCGGUCCCCAUUGCUCCCAGGAAGGGAGCAGGGAGCCGACUCACCCUGCACUGAUGGGCUCUUUACCUCCCUCCUCUCCUGUGAGAACAGUGGGGGCUCGUGAUUGCACCGCCUGCCUCUGAUUGGCUGCACUACCCCAGGGGGUGGGGCAGUUGGGAAGGCAGCCAAUCAGAGGGGGUUUUCCCGCAGGCCCGGCUGAAGUGUGCACCCCUCAGUGACUCAGCUCCAGUUGUAGAAACGUUAUUUCUCAUGGUCCUUGUGAGCUGGUGCCCUUAAGGCCCUGCCAGUGCCCCCGUCCUGUACAUGAGCCACACAACUGCCCGCCCUGUGGUAACCAAAGCACCCUAACACACCCAGCCGAGGCUGCAGGGCCCCCUCAGCCCUUGGGCUCCAAAGGAAGAGCUGACACGUCUAAAUGCCGUUAUUUGCAGUUAUUGGGCAUCUCUGACUUAAGCUAUUUACCUGGGCCAGGCUUUUCAAAGAGGAGGCCCUAAGUGAUGUCCACAGGAGCUGCCAGUUCACCCAAAAUCCUGGCACCAAAGGUGGGCGCUGAGCCCUUGGAAAGCUGGCCCUGGGCUCUGCCACGAAGACAAGACACCCAGCCUGUGUCAGACGACGCAGUCCUAAUCCCUCUGCCAAGCUCCCAGCAUCACAGAUGGCAGGAGAUCCCUUCCAGCUGGAGCUCAAGGGAAAGGUGACUUCCCCCAACCCCCAGCUCUGAUCCCAACCCCAUAGGGCUGGACCUGCCGCAAAGCAGUGAGGAAUUGGCCUGGAGAGCGUGUUGAGCCCAAUCUAGCCCCAUGCACUUGCUGGGCUAAGAAUGAGCACAGUAAUAACAAGGCCUAACUGAUAUAUAGCGCUUUUAAGCCAAGGAAGUCAGUAUCAGAUGGAGAGAUGGAGGCACAGAGCGGGGAAAUUAUUUGCCCACAGUCGCCCAGGAGGCCAGUGGCAGAGCCAGGAUUACACCCAGUUUCCUCAGUCCCAGGUGAGCACUUUAUCCGCUAGACUACACUGUUUUGCACAGUGCAGCAAUUGCAGCUGGGACUGAGCUGUUAGUCCAGCUCCCAAGGCCAGUGCAAGAUCGUUCCUUGCAGCGUAUCACCCUGGGCAUUUUUUUUAGUCUAGUUUAGAUUCAAAGGCUCAAGUCCUGCGGCUCCCACCACGUCCUCUGGGAUGACUGCACCCCCUCCCAGUCUGCACCAGGAGGAAGUUUUUCCUGCUCU